RNA transcript from Hypomesus transpacificus, 2880 nucleotides. RefSeq lists it as uncharacterized. Lineage: Eukaryota; Metazoa; Chordata; Actinopteri; Osmeriformes; Osmeridae. The transcript is spliced from 4 exons. The record is from RefSeq and is a predicted model, not a curated record.
UAUCCUACGACUUUGAAUUCAAACAAUACAAUCUGCCCAACGUCUAGCUAAACGAGGUCAUGGAUAAUGGUCUUCUUUCAGCCCGGCCCGCUUCUAUUUGUUAGCAGGAUUAGCAUAACCAUGAAACACAAAUAUGUUGUUAUUGUAUCUAUCUAGGUAGCAACUACUUUGCGUAGCAAUAUUAAACGCACAGGAAGUUCCAGUACCAUGGCUAGCUCGUCUAUGAAAGAGAUAUUUUCAGAUGUCACGCUCACCGUUGAUUUAACCACUUUCAAAGAUCCAGACAUGGUUAAAGAGAUUUUUAAAAGAUCAAAGCACAAAAUAAAACAAAUAACAAAAACUUCACGAUAUCAAGCUGAAGGAUCCUUUGAGGACAUCGAAGAUGUGUUUGUGAAGUUGUCAAGUUUGGAAAGACACACCACUUCUGGGCGCCAACACCAACAACAGGCUCAGAUGUCCCCCGAUCAGGUGAAACCAGUUGACAUACAGAAAACUGUCAUGGAGUACAUGCAACAAAAAUGUUCAAAGGAAUUACGCAAAAUCGAGGGUAAUGAUGUAACAAUAACAACAUCCUUAGGAAAAACAGACAAAACAUUGUUGGUGUCUUUCAAACCUCUCGGUCGAAGCAGUAGCAGCCAGGUUUGUGCUCACUUCGCCCGAGAGAGAUUCAUCACACUCUAUCAGCGCAUAGCAACAGACCUGAGAGCCGUUUCUCACAGCUUGGCAGACCACCACCUGAGCUACUUGCAAAAUAACUUUCCUGAGCUGUGGAUUGUAAGCAGCUCUGGGAAGAUGACCAUGACGGGGCCGUACGCACACAUCAGUAGAUUGGAAGAUUUCUUAAGCAACAGAAAGUCCUCUACUCCGGGGCGAAACCCGACGACGCAGAGACGGACUGCAGGAGCCUCAGGUGUGUCCCCUGUCAGCCACGCCCAGCAGCAGGACGAUUUACAGGAAACCUGCGCCAUCUGCAUGGACACCAUCAACGAGAGACACAGGAAGACACUCAAGUGCAAGCAUUCAUUUUGCACGGGCUGUCUGAAGAGGGCGUUUGAGUUCAAGCCUGUUUGCCCGACUUGUGGGGCGCUGUACGGUGAACUGAAAGGGACUCAGCCUGAGGGGGGUUCAAUGUCCACCAGCACAAGGUCUUCCUCUUUGCCGGGAUAUGAGAAGUGGGGGACUAUCGUUAUUUCUUAUAACAUCCCAAGUGGCACUCAAAAGGAGGAGCACCCAAGUCCAGGACAGCGGUACGAGGGAGCCGCCCGUACGGCCUUCCUCCCCGACAGCCCAGAGGGACGGAAGGUCCUGGACCUCCUGAAGAGAGCCUUCCACCAGCAGCUGGUCUUCACCGUGGGCAGCUCCACCACCAGUGGAAGGAGCAACGUGGUGACGUGGAACGACAUCCACCACAAAACUGCUACACAUGGAGGGCCAACAUGGUACGAGGCUGUAGAAGUGGGGUCAUGUGAUCAGUAGUCACACCUGUCCUUUCAUAAGCCACAGGUGUGAGCUGGCUCUGGGCGUAUAGAUGGAAAGGAACAGACGCUACGGUUACCCAGAUCCUGAUUACCUGAAGCGUGUUCAAGAUGAGUUGAAAGUGAAGGGAAUUCAGUGACUUCUUUGAAAGGGCACACACAUUGGACAUAAGUACGAGCACAAGUUGUGAUUUUGUAAACUCACUAAAUUAAUUGAUUUACAUGGCACACCAAGUAUAAUAUGUUAACUGUCGUUGAUUGUUUGGAAUUCACAAACAGUAUGUCUAUGAAGACGUAUAUUUAAUGACUUACCCUAAAGCUGGCUAGCAUGGGUAACACAACAUGCUGGAUGUCGAGAGGUAAAACAUUGUCGUAUUCAUCGAGAAAAGCUGAUUUCUGAGCAAAUUUUUUGUUUAAUGAACAUAAACAAGUACAUAAGCUACUAUGUUUGUAACUUAUAAAAAGCCAAAAAAGCCAGAAUAAUAUGCAAAAUAAUGAAAACGCAGUAAAAACUGAAUACAGAAAAUAUUUGGCCUCCUUAUUGUUGUGGCAAUAUUUACAAUAUAUACAAUUUGUAUUGUCAUAUUUGCCAUUACUCCAUUUCUAUAAGGCACCAAAUGCUAAAUAGCAUAAUAAUACAUUUUCACUAAAAUUGUGCAGAAAUGACAAAGUCAUUUAGAUCAAAGAAACAAUUAGAUUAAAUAACUCACAAAGUGGACCAAAUCAAAUACACUGUUGAUCAUAUUGUGUUGAGUACUGUGGUCUUCAUUCAACUGCUAAGGUCAUGAUAUAUUUAACAUAGUUCAACUGUUGACUGCAAGUGUGCACUUACUCUCAGUCAGAUAAUGUCAUGUCUUUCUCUCCGUGCGUUACUGUAUCUUGAAAUAGAAAUAAAUUCUAAAACAAUGUACGCCAUCAACAUUUUUAUAAAGUACUUAUUCAAAUGUAUUUCUCCAAACGAAUGCUCUACUGUGAAGAACUGUAAUCACUGAACCAUCAUAAACCCUUUGCAAGAUCACACCCAAUGUUGCUUUCCAGCAGUCGUCCAUUCAAGUUCCUCAUAAACUAGUGAUCGUUUUCCACUGUGCUUUCAUUCAUGAAUCAUUAACAAAUGAUCCAGCCCUGCACCGACAGUAUAUUUGGCAUGACUUCAGCUUGUGAAUGAUCUAAGUGUAGACCUCAUGAACAGUUGAUGAAGGCACUGUUGUGUCUUCAAACUGCUGUUUGGUUCAAGUCUUUAAAUCUAAUCGCAUCAUUUCAUAUUUCAAUCAGAAUCCUUAACAAGGCCUUUACAACUCAUCAUUAGUAACCUAGUGCACUUAUCCUACCCAUUGACUUUGCCCAGGUGCGAAAUAAUGUUUGUUUUAACUGUGACUUGCUCAUAAUAAAUUCUUAUUUUCGCUCA